This 464-nucleotide ribosomal RNA is filed under the name uncultured bacterium. RNAcentral describes it as "partial 16S ribosomal RNA". It matches the Rfam family "Bacterial small subunit ribosomal RNA", at positions 28 to 507 of the family's 1533-position model. The record is from RNAcentral.
GACGAACGCUGGCGGCGUGCUUAACACAUGCAAGUCGAACGGAAAGGCCCAGCUUGCUGGGUGCUCGAGUGGCGAACGGGUGAGUAACACGUGGGUGAUCUGCCUCUAACUUCGGGAUAAGCUUGGGAAGCUGGGUCUAAUACCGGAUAGGACAAUCGUUUAGUGUCGGUUGUGGAAAGUUUUUUCGGUUAGGGAUGAGCCCGCGGCCUAUCAGCUUGUUGGUGGGGUAAUGGCCUACCAAGGCGUCGACGGGUAGCCGGCCUGAGAGGGUGGACGGCCACAUUGGGACUGAGAUACGGCCCAGACUCCUACGGGAGGCAGCAGUGGGGAAUAUUGCACAAUGGGCGCAAGCCUGAUGCAGCGACGCCGCGUGGGGGAUGACGGCCUUCGGGUUGUAAACCUCUUUCGACAGGGACGAAGCUUUGGUGACGGUACCUGUAUAAGAAGCACCGGCUAACUACGUG